AUUUAAAUAGCUUAUAAAGAGUGUGGGAUUGAAGAUUCCAAGGAGAAAAUAAAUUGUCUUUAAAUA
This 66-nucleotide transfer RNA is filed under the name Trigonopterus triradiatus. Its description in RNAcentral is "tRNA-Phe". Lineage: Eukaryota; Metazoa; Arthropoda; Insecta; Coleoptera; Curculionidae. The record is from RNAcentral.